RNAcentral lists this transfer RNA (76 nucleotides) under Planctomycetota bacterium. RNAcentral's name for it is "tRNA-Ala". It matches the Rfam family "tRNA". Rfam says of the family: Transfer RNA (tRNA) molecules are approximately 80 nucleotides in length. The record is from RNAcentral. Lineage: Bacteria; Pseudomonadati; Planctomycetota.
GGGGGAUUAGCUCAGUUGGGAGAGCGCUACAAUGGCAUUGUAGAGGUCAGGGGUUCGAAUCCCCUAUCCUCCACCA